RNAcentral lists this ribosomal RNA (486 nucleotides) under uncultured bacterium. RNAcentral describes it as "partial 16S ribosomal RNA". It matches the Rfam family "Bacterial small subunit ribosomal RNA", at positions 28 to 507 of the family's 1533-position model. The record is from RNAcentral.
GAUGAACGCUAGCGAUAGGCUUAACACAUGCAAGUCGAGGGGCAGCACAAGGUAGCUUGCUCUCUGGGUGGCGACCGGCGCACGGGUGCGUAACGCGUAUGCAACUUGCCCUAUACAGGAGGAUAACCCGUCGAAAGACGGACUAAUACUGCGUAUGCUCACAACUUGGCAUCCAGUGGUGAGGAAAGAAAUUCGGUAUAGGAUAGGCAUGCGUCCCAUUAGCUUGUUGGUGAGGUAACGGCUCACCAAGGCAACGAUGGGUAGGGGAACUGAGAGGUUAUCCCCCACAAUGGUACUGAGACACGGACCAGACUCCUACGGGAGGCAGCAGUGAGGAAUAGUGGUCAAUGGGCGCGAGCCUGAACCAGCCAAGUCGAGUGAAGGAUGACUGUCUUAUGGAUUGUAAACUUCUUUUAUACGGGAAUAACAAGAGUCACGUGUGACUCCCUGCAUGUACCGUAUGAAUAAGCAUCGGCUAACUCCGUG